Molecule: long non-coding RNA, 280 nt
Organism: Carassius carassius (crucian carp)
Lineage: Eukaryota; Metazoa; Chordata; Actinopteri; Cypriniformes; Cyprinidae
Exons: 3
Source: RefSeq, a predicted model, not a curated record
UAGUGUAAUAUUUUAUUAUUUUUGUUCAUUUAUAUGUUUUUAUUUUAUGUAGAAAGAGGAGGACACAGCUACAGCUAUGAUGAUGAGGGGCCAACUCAAAGAGACACCUCUCAGUACUACAAGAGAAAUGUUCCCCAAGACCAGUGUGCCGUCCACCUGUGUCAUCUGGUGUGUACAAGAUGUGCUGAGACUUUUUACAGCACCUUUUUGCCGCAGAAAUCACAGCAUGCCUCCUCCCAUCAGCUUCCUGUGUUUAUGCUGUAGACUUCUGCAUUCAUAU